This is a non-coding RNA of Oryctolagus cuniculus (rabbit), 8257 nucleotides long. NCBI's taxonomy places the organism in Eukaryota, Metazoa, Chordata, Mammalia, Lagomorpha, Leporidae. The record is from RefSeq and is a predicted model, not a curated record.
GCGCGCGCGCUCGCAGCGCUGUCCCGCUCCGCGCGUCCCCUCCUCCCUGCGCUACCGUGCGUUGGCGCGCGUGGACUGGCGAAGGGGCGAACCCGGAAGACAGGACCGCAGGGAGAAGACACCCUCAGGGGCGCGUCACCCCGUUCCCCUCAGCUCGAAAGCGUCGUGUCCUUUCACCCGUUCAGAGUAUUCAUGAGCGCCUGGGUCAACCCUGAGCUUGGGAGAGGGUCGGAGGAGGCUCUGCCGCCCUAGGUUUCUUUCUCAGGGGGCUGCACUAACCCACCACUGGUGUGCAAGGCCCACCCCGCCUCACACACUUAUGUGGAAACAAAAGAAAACACGACAGUGAAAAGCGUGGGAUACAGCACCCGCCAAAUGGCCUGACAAACAGGACAACUGAGGAAGAAAACUGGGAGAGUGAUUAGAGGGGAAAAUGACCCACCUCCCCGACAGCUGCAGGAUGCGAACUGUUCAAGAAAUUAUAAGAGAAUGUGUCGCAGUGGCUAGGCGAAGGAAGCCUGGCACCUCUGAAAGUUUCAGGAUAAGCAAGGAACUGGCAUUAGAGUGGAAUGGAGGUUGAGCCCCUGCCUGGACACCAAGACCGGCAGAUUCCUCUUUUCUGCUCUGGUCUGAGUGGCGGUAGAUCUGUCCUGUUCUCAUGGCCUGUGGAAGCCCUUCACUGGCAGUGACUACCGGGGCUGUGCGUCAACCUGAAUCUAGCAGGCAGAGUGGACAGCGAGAGAGAGAGACAGAGAGAAAGGUCUUCCUUUGCUGUUGGUUCACCCUCCAAUGGCUGCCGCAGCUGGCGCACUGCGGUUGGCACACCGCACUGAUCUGAAGGCAGGAGCCAGGUGCUUCUCCUGGUCUCCCAUGGGGUGCAGGGCACAAGGACUUGGGCCAUCCUCCACUGCACUCCCUGGCCACAGCAGAGAGCUGGCCUGGAAGAGGGGCAACCGGGACAGAAUCCGGCGCCCCGACCGGGACUAGAACCCAGUGUGCCAGCGCCGCAAGGUGGAGGAUUAGCCUAGUGAGCUGCGGCGCCGGCCACUAUAUUUCUUUCUAGAGUAUUCAUUUCAUCUUUGGUGCUGAGUCCCUGCCCUCAUAAAGCUUACAUUCUGAUGGUGUUAGCUGGGCAGACAAUAAUCAAAUGAGUACAUACAAAGGGUAUCAGAUGCUGAUAAGUUGCACAAAGAAACAGAAGGCAGUAAGGACUGUACUGAGUAUUGCAGGCACAGCAUACAUGUACGGAGAGGACUGCAUUUAGCACACCUUGAAGGAACAAGGAAGCCUACGUGUUUGGGGAAGAAUGAGAAUUAGGAAGUGAGGUCAGAGAUGUGCUUGAGUGGGGAUUAGCCAGACCAUGCAGGGUCUAGGCCAUUUUCAUAAAAAGACUUUGGCUUGUCCUCUAUCACAGUGAAGUCCAGGGUAGUGCCUAUGCAAGGGCAAUAACAGAACUGAAGGAAAAGGAGUUAAGAGGCUCUUGGCAAAUGUUAAGAAUUUUGAUCCAGUUAUUUUUACAAUACUAUGAACUGUAAAGAUAUUUAUUAAAUGGCAGAAAUGGGCAAUGAUACCACAUACAUGAUUUCCUUUUUUAAUAGUGAAGUAUGUUUCAAUUCAGUUUCAGAAUUUUACAGUGAUAGGAUAAUGGCAAAUACGACAAGUAGAAAAGCCAGUGAAGUACUGGCAUGAGGAACACCAUGCAGACCAAUGGAAUAGAACAGACAGCAUUAUAUAAGCCCUCACAUUUGGUUAAUUGAUUUUCAACAAGCAUGCCAAGACCAUUCAGUGCAGAUAGGACAGGCUUUCCACAAAUGCUGGGAAACUGUAUAUCCAUAUAACAAAGCAUGAAGUUGGAUCCUCAAAAUAGAUGACAGACUUGAAUGCAAGAACUAAAAGUAUAAGAUCAUAAAUUAUAUGAGCACAGACAACAAGAGAAAAUAUAGACGAUCAAAAUUAAAAACUGCUGUGCAUCAAAGAACACUUUCAAAAAAGUGAAAAGAUAACCCACAAAAUGGGAGAAAUAUUUGCAAAUUUUUUAUAAAGGCCUAAUAUCCAGAAUAUAUAAAGAACUCUUACUCAACAACAACAAAAAUCUCCAUAACCUAAUUCAAAAGUGGGCAAAAGAUUUGAGCAGACAGUUCCCCAAAGAUAUGCAAAUGGUCAGUAAACACUUGAGGGACCAGCAUUGUGGUCCAGCAAGUUAAGACACCACUUGUGAGGCUGGCAUACCAUGUCAGGGUGCCAGUUCCUGUUCCAGCUCAUCUACUUCUGAUCUACUUUCCUGCUAAUGUGCCUUGGAAGAGAGCAGAUGGUGGCUCCAUGCUUGGGACCCUGAAAUUCAUGUGAGACCUGGAUGUGGUUCCUGGCUCCUACUUUAGCCUGGCCCAACCCUGGCUAUUGAGGAGUGAAUCAGGAGAUGGAAGAUUUUUCUCCAUCUCCCCCCACCUCUCUCUCUCUCUCUCUCUCUCUCUCUCUCUCUCUCUCUCUGUUGUUCUUGCCAUUCACAAAAAUAAAUCUUUAAAAAAAAAAAGCACCUGAAAAGAAGUUCAACAUCAUCAGAGGACAGUGAAAAUCAAAACCAAAAGAAAUACUGUUUCAUAUCUACUAGAAUGUCCAUGAGUAAAACAAAUGGCACAGAAAAUAAGUGUGGACAAAGAAAUUUAAACACUGGGAAACUGCCAGUAGGAAUGUAAAAUGGUACAGCUACUGUGGAAAACAGUUUGACGGUUCUGGAAAAUGUUAGACGUAAUUACCAUAUGAUCCAGCAAUUUCAAUCCCAACUACAUACCCCAAAGAAGUGAACAUAGGAACCUAGACUGUAUACCAAUGUUCAUAGCAGCAUUAUUCACAAUAACUGAAAGUUGGAGAUAAUUCAAAUGCCCAUCAACAAGUGAAUGGUAUAUGCACAUAAUGAACUAUUUUUAGCAACAGCAAGGAAUUAAAUUCUGGAACAUGUUAUAGCAUGGAUGAACUUUGAAAACAUUAGCCUAAGUGAAAUAAAUGACACAAAAACCAAAUAUUUUAUGAUUCCACUUAUAAGUGAUAUGUAGAGUAGCCAAAUUUAUAGAGAUGGGAAGUAGGAUGACGGUUACCAGAGGCUGGAGGAAGAGGCAAUGAGGAGUUAGUGUUUAAUGGGUACAGAGUUUCUGCUAGGAUGAUGAAAAAGUCCUGGAAAUGGAUAGUAGUGAUAGUUGCACAACAUUGUGUAUGUCUUAAUGCCUCUGAAUUGUGCACUUAAAAGUGAUUCAAAUGGUAAAUUUUGUUACAGAUGUGUUACCACAAUUAAAAAAAAAAAAAAAAACAAGAAAAGGAAGGAGUGGAGGAGAAAGCAUGUGGAAAUUGUGUUUGUGCCUCACCCUCUCAGAGUAGAAGAAAACUAAUGUAAUCACUUAGUGAGCAAGUUAGACUCAGUAUAGUGCAAGCAAAAAGUAAGUUUGCUUUCUCCCACUACUCAUUUCAGAUGUCUUUUUCCUAUUUGCUCUUUCCAGUCCUUUGAUUAAACUUUGACAAGUCCCAAAGCUUUUCUGAUCACUAUCAGUUAAGUUCAGAAUGUUGUCAUAUGAAAUGUUAAAACCCAUGUAAAACUCAUUUGUCCACCCUCCAAAAUAGGAUCUGCUUCAGGCCUAGAGAAUUUCUGUGGGAUGCAAGUGGGGAAGACAAGUUACUUCUCCCAUUUCCUUGAUCCACUACUUGCUAAUGCUGCUAUUGCUCCUCCAGGUUUGCAAGGGAAAAUCCUUCCCUGACUGGUAAAGUUGUCCUCUGAUGUUUGUGCUUUCUGAUUGUAUUGAAUUUUAAAUGUUGUUUGUCUCUUUUAUGGUGAUUUGUACAUUCUUUAGAAAACCUGUGUUCCCUGGAACCUUUCUCCCAUGCCUCCCUUGAUAGGGUUAAUGACUUCAUCAACUGGCUCCUUGGGGCUCCCUUUCAGCCCCUGCUUAGGGUUGCUAACAACAGGAGCAACCUUCUUCCAUCCAAGUAUUAACCAGGGCCGACCCUGCUAACAAGAUCAGAUGAGAUCAGGGGAAUUUAGGGGGGUAUGGCCAUAGACAGAGGAUGUCUUCUCAGCAGGACCCUUCCCAGAAUGAUGCAGUAUGUCUCUUCUACACAGUCCAGUAUGUGACCCACUAGAAAUUCCUUGCUCCACCAAAUUCAGCAAGUGGUCUUCUGUAGACAGCUGGCCAGCCUCAUUCUCUCCCCCUCAGUGUCCUUCAUGGUUCCUCUACUACUCUGAAAACUCUAAGGAAGAACGAACCAGGGUCUUCCCAAGUACCUGAUGAAUUCCUUGCCUUCUCUUAAGCAGUUUGGAGGUGAGGAUAGGCCAAACUAUGCAGAGCAGGCUUCCAGUUCCUCCUGUGAGUGCUACCCAGCACUGCCCUUUAAGGUAAGGGAAUUUUUCAAGUCGUAUUGUAGGGCCACUCCCAAAGCAGAAAGAGGGUCAUUGUAAUAACAAAAGUCUCCAAAAAGUCCACAGAAAAAUGCAUAUUCUGGAAAAACUAUGCAUGGAUUUCAUUUUUUUGCAAAGGAAGUUUAUUAUUUAAUUCUGUUUUUUUCCAUAAACUUUUUGAAGUAUCUUCGUAUCCUUCUACAUUGGAGCAGAAAGUCAUUAUCAUUUCUAUGUUUCAAGAAAGUCCUUUGCAAAGCUUGAGGGAAGACAGAAUACAGGACUAGGAUGACAUCCUUCCCUGGCCUCUCCACCCUUGGUCCCUGGUGACAAGCAGAAGAGCCCUUCCAGAAAAUCCUUCCAAACAUAGCUGCACCUUUUCUUGCCUUAGGAAAUGUAAUUCGGUGAAUGUAAUUGAACUGAAAAGAGAAAAGACAGUCUAACAUGCCUUCAUGUUCCGAAUGGCAAUUCUUCUUGUGCAGACAACACAAGAUCUUUGGAUAUUUCUCCAAUGAAAAAGAUGCUCUUUCUUCAAAGAUGGAUUUAGAAAAUUUGAUUUUCCUGGUCUCCAGAAAACAACGAGUUAAAAUUGCAGGUAGUAGAAGAUGGGACGUGAUCAAGUGCAUUGUCAAGAUUCCUCAAUUGGAUUUACUAGUAACAGCUUCUCAGACAGGAUUACUCACUGUCUUUAACAGCCAGAUGAAAGUUCAGACCAGCAUCAAUGUUACAGGUACCUCCUGGAUUACAGGAUGUGAUUACCUCUUACAGCUGAAACGAAUUGUUGCCAUUACAGAAAGGAGCAUCAUUAUCUGGGAUUAUAAAGCUCAAGAGAACAGCCAGGAAAACUACUUUGUUAUCAAGCCCAUGGACCACCGCCUCCUGUGUGUGUGUGUGGUGCCUAUGCCUGAACAGCUCUACAGAGAUGACAUCCUCUUUGGGGAUGACAGUGGUUUUGUGACCAGAUUCACCAUAAAUAGUGUUGACUUUGGACUAAAGCAGACAAAAUCCAAAAGGAAAUUUAAAAAUCAGGUCUUGAAUUCAAAGAACUUUAAAAGUGUUAAAAGGAAGCUGCAUAAUGACUUGGUUAUGAAAAUUAGAUAUAUUCCAGCCCUAAAUUGCUUUGGAUCCUGCUCCUUAGACAGUGUCCAUUCAUUUGUUUUGGAAUCAUUGAAGAGACUUGAGGAUAAUUUGCCUGUCAGAGAGUUUGCCAUACCAAGAGGAGCCAACACAUUUUGCUACUGUUCCAAAGCAAAUGUGAUUGUUACUGGAGGAGAAGAUAAGGUACUCCGUCUGUGGCACCCCAACAUCAGCACCAAACCAGUGGGGAAACUUGUGGGACACAUGUUCAGUGUCACUGAGAUUGUAACCAAUGAGAAAGAUCAACACGUCAUCAGCCUUUCCUCUGCAAAGGUUUUCAGGGUGUGGGAUAUACAGACUCUCUCGCUACUUCAAAUCUUCCAUGAUACCCAGGGAGGACCAGGAGACAUGCAGAUUUAUUCUAUGAUAUAUGAUGCCAAUCAUGGCAUGCUCAUAACAGGGUCUAGUGUUAUGGACAUGUACCCUUUGUCAAGGAUGAUACAAGAUACAGAACAUGUUCCUCACACACAUAAACAAGAAAUCAAUGUCAUGCUUUACAACAAAUCUUUUCACCAAGUACUCACUAUUUGCUCUGAAUCCAUAAUUAAGGUAUGGGAACUCGAGACUGGUUUCCAAAUAUACCAGAUUUCAGAUGCUCAUGGCUACGCUGUUGAAGUGACAUCAGGGGCUAUUGAUGAAAGUGGAUUUUGUUUUGCCACAGGAGCAUAUAAUGGAACAGUGAAAAUCUGGGACUUUGGCAGUGGGCAAGAGAUGAAAGUGUUGCCUAAAGGGAAAGAAUGGAAGGAGGAAGAGCACUGGGUGAAACGUCUGAUUUUCCUCAAAGCUCAAGAAAAACAGCAGAACUUGAUCCUUGCCUUGGAGCGCAACGGAGCUAUCAAAAUCAUGCAGGGCAAGGAAGAUGAUAUUUUCCUCACUGUGAUAUGGGAGCUGCCUGAUGCCAUGCCUUAUUUCCAGAAUGGGAUUCACGUGGUGCAUCUGGAGAUGUCUACUAGAGACAGGAACAUGGCUAUUCCUUUCCCAGAUGUCAAAUUAAUAGUUGAGAAAAAGUUUCCUCAUCACACUACUAACCCUGCCAUUAGUACUGAAGUCAACUGUGUUAAUUUGUUACAAGUAGAAGGAUAUAAUUUGAUAGCUGUUGGAACCGUAAAUGGUGUGAUCAUCUUAUGGAAUUUUGUAACAGCUACUGUCAAAGAAGUGUACCGACCCGAAGAUUCCUUCAGUGUGGACAGUAACGUGGAUCCCAAACACUUAAGAAUAAAUGAUAUACUGUUCCUCUUUCGUACACCUGAAUGUGAAAGAUCAAGUCAAGAUUCCAUUGGCUCCUCAAGCCAGUGUGACUCUAGCAAGGGUCCACAGAGUUGUAAGGGAAGCAGACAAAGUAUACAUGACGGUGAUGUUAAAGGUGAACAUACAGAUGUUACAGUGAGAGAGACACAUGCAGUGGACAAAAAACAUUUCGGAGCUGCCAACUUAAUAGAAUCUCAGCCACCCAUCCUUGCCACUGCUCAUGAAGAUGGACACCUCCGCUUGUGGACUAUGGAGGGAAGGCUAAUAAAAGAUACACUACCUUUCACAAAACAUUCUGCCAUUCCUCUGGCAUCACUGUAUACUGAUUCACGCACCAGGAUGCUACUGACUGGAAAUAUGGAAGGACAUGUUAUCAUAUUCAGCAUUAAUUCCUUCCUGGAACCUCCUCAUGAUGAAAUGAAAUUCAAGCAGCUGCUUUCCUGGCGUGCCCAUGCUUUAGAAAUUAUUCAAGUAAUCUACGUGGAAGACAAACAAGUAGUGCUUACAGCCUCCAUCGAUGGCUCAGUAAGGCUUUGGCAUGCCCUCAGUGGUCAUUACUGUGGCUACUUUGGACAGCGAAGGAACUUUGAAUUAUCACAGACAAGUGAUUUCAUUUUGCCUUGUGAUGUUAGUGAAUAUCCCAUAGAAAUGAAAGAAGAAAGCAAUUUAACAGAAAAGGAAAGAUACGAAUAUCCUCUGGUAUUUGACCGAACAAGAUGGAGGAAAAUAAGCUCAAUGUCUUUACUAUUCAAAUGUACACCUCCCAAGCCCUUUGAAGUGGAACAUGAUUUUAAGUUUUUCAAGUCUCUUUCUUCUCCCAAGACUCAAAAAUAUGCCUUGGAAAGUUCCUUGAGUGAAAACAUUAAGGCAGGGAUUGUAUUCGGUUCUCUGCCUAUAUAUAGGGUUCCAAGUCCCCCUAGUCUAAGAUUCCUUCCACUCAUUGGUUCAGAUGCACGAAGUGAAUCUUUAGAUGGCAUUUCUGGAAAAAAGAAAGGAGGUCAUGCUCAACAUGAAAAAGCACCACGGAGGAGAAGUCUGAAAACAAAUUUAGUUCCACAAAUAAAUCUGGCUUCAUCCUUCUUUCCAGCAGUGCCUAAGAUAUAGAAGUAGGAGCUAUCAUUCAUCUCACUGAAAGAAUUGUUGAACAGAGAUUUCUCAAAAUUCUGGCCACAGCAGGGAUAUUAACUACCAAGAAAGCACCUAGAGAAGAAACACUCUAUGGAAAAAGUGUUGCAGUUACUAAGCUUGACUACUUGAAGUUACAAACCACUUACGGUGACUCCUCUCCUGAUCCCUUCUUGUAUCAGGCCACUCUCCAAGGCCAUGAAGGCCAACCACUGUCGGCCCUCAUCACAGAGCUUGAUCCUUGACAGUUUGCUGAUCCCAACUACCACAGAGUGGCUCUUGCUCUACAAAAUAAAAAAAAUAAAAAAGCUCUUGCUCCGGGUGAAACUUGGCUUCUGGUAGUACUAUCCUCAGUCUUUCUCCCUAGCU